Molecule: ribosomal RNA, 390 nt
Filed under: uncultured bacterium
Lineage: Bacteria
Description: bacterial SSU rRNA
Rfam family: Bacterial small subunit ribosomal RNA
Source: RNAcentral
GACGAACGCUGGCGGCGUGCUUAACACAUGCAAGUCGAGCGGUAAGGCCCUUUCGGGGGUACGACGAGCGGCGAACGGGUGAGUAACACGUGGGUGACCUGCCCUCCAGCUCUGGGAUAAGCCUGGGAAACUGGGUCUAAUACUGGAUAUGACUCCACGGUGCAUGUCGUGGGGUGGAAAGCCUUGUGCGGCUGAGGAUGGGCCCGCGGCCUAUCAGCUUGUUGGUGGGGUGAUGGCCUACCAAGGCGACGACGGGUAGCCGGCCUGAGAGGGCGACCGGCCACACUGGGACUGAGACACGGCCCAGACUCCUACGGGAGGCAGCAGUGGGGAAUCUUGCGCAAUGGGCGAAAGCCUGACGCAGCGACGCCGCGUGAGGGAUGACGGCCU